UUUUCAUUCUCUCUCUCUCUUCUGUCCGUCGUUUUUUAAUUUCGAGACUUCCACUAUAUCUUCCAGGUUUCUGCCGCUUCUUGGAAGGCAGAGGAAGAGGAAGGGGGAGAAGGGGUAAUCACCAAACUCGUCUGCAGGCUGAAGGAGAUGGCGGAUUUGGAAGAGAUUGGCGCUGAAAUCUGUUCGGAUCUUGAGGUUGACGACAUCAGGUGUGAUAAUCUAGCGGAGAAAGAUGUCAGUGAUGAAGAGAUUGAAGCUGACGAGCUGGAAAGGCGCAUGUGGAAGGACCGGGUCAAGCUCAAUAGGAUCAAGGAGAGGCAGAAGCUUGCUGCCCAACAGGAGAAGCCCAAGCCUAAACAGACCUCCGACCAGGCUCGGAGGAAAAAAAUGUCCAGAGCCCAAGAUGGUAUCCUCAAGUACAUGCUGAAGCUGAUGGAAGUCUGUAAUGCCCGUGGAUUCGUUUACGGGAUCGUGCCCGAGAAGGGAAAGCCGGUGAGUGGUUCCUCUGAUAACAUACGGGCUUGGUGGAAGGAGAAGGUAAAGUUUGAUAAGAACGGACCGGCGGCAAUAGCCAAGUAUGAAGCAGAGUGUUUAGCAGUAGGUGAGGCAGAGAAUAAACGAAAUGGGAACUCUCAGAGCAGCCUUCAGGACCUUCAAGAUGCCACUUUGGGCUCUCUCCUCUCGUCCUUGAUGCAACACUGCGAUCCCCCGCAACGGAAAUACCCAUUAGAGAAAGGUCUUCCGCCACCCUGGUGGCCAUCGGGUAACGAGGACUGGUGGGAAAAGCUAGGAUUACCCAAGGGUCAGGCUCCACCUUACAGAAAGCCCCAUGAUCUGAAGAAGAUGUGGAAGGUUGGUGUGCUAACUGCAGUUGUCAAGCACAUGUCCCCCAAUAUUGCAAAGAUCAGGAGGCAUGUCCGGCAGUCAAAGUGUUUACAGGAUAAGAUGACUGCCAAGGAGAGUUCAAUUUGGUUGGGAGUCUUGAGCCGAGAGGAAGCACUUAUCCAGCAGCCAAGUGGCGACAAUGGUGUAUCUGGUGUAACUGAGAUGCCUCCAAGAAGUCGUGGUGGAAGGAAGCAGGCUGUGGCUAGUAGUGACAGUGACUAUGAUGUUGAUGGUGUUGAUGAUGGUGUGGGUUCUGUUUCUUCUAAUCCUAAAGUUGACAGGAGAAUUCAACCAGUGAAUGCAGGACCUUGUGGAAACCCAUGUGAUAACCCAAGGCAUCCUUCUAAUGAUAAAGAGCAAAGUGAAGAACAGCCAAGGAGAAAAAGACCUCGUGGGAGAUCAAAACCUGUUGAUCAAGGGACACCAUCUUCUCAGAAUGAGCAUCUACAUGGGGAAGAGAGAAGCGUGGUUCCAGAUAUGAACCAGGUUGACUUACAGUUGGUUGAAUUUCAAAUGCAAACAACCCAGCUGGAAAAUGAUCCAGUUCCAUCUUUGAGGCCUUUGGAAGAAGAUCAGGAUAUCCAGCUCCAGUUACCUGAAUCUGCGCUUAACACCUUCUCAGACCUUCCUUCCACCAAUGAAACAACCUCAGAGAGUAUGCUUGUUGGUGACAGACCCUUAUUAUAUUCAAUUGUGCAAAAUGCUGAAUUGCCUCCUAGACCUAGUUACUUUUUCUAUGAUCCAUCAGUAGGAAAUAGGCUACAUCAGGAUAAAGAGCAGCUACAGAUAUCAAUGGCAGAUCCCCAGAUGAUGCCUGAGGAAACAGGAUACCAUGCACCAUUGCUACAUGGAAAUAGAAAUCAGAUUGCAGGAGAGGAAAUACAUCGUUAUGGAAAGGAUAGUUUCCAUAGUGAGCAAGAUAAACCCGUUGAAAGCCACUAUGGGUCUCCACUUGAUGGCUUGUCAUUAGAUUAUGGAGGAUUCAACAGUCCAUUUUUUGGAUUUGAUGGCACUAGUUCAUUAGAUGCUGAUUUAGAUUUUUCACUUGAUGAUGACUUAAUCCAAUAUUUCGGAGCAUAGUCUGCGGCACCUAUUACAAUGCAGCAUAGAGUGUGAGCAGCAUUUCUUUGUGAAUAUGUAUCUUGAUCUUGUUGCUCAAAUAUGGUUGUACUUUUGUUCGUGUCACAGAUUACAGGGCGCAGGUUCUACUGUAGGCAGGACAAUGGACCUUUUUUAAUCCACUGGAAUUGCUAAUUUGGCCUUACCAGAUCCAAAAAUUAUGAAUUCAGGGCAUUUUGUUUCUCAUUACUAGUCUAAUAGGGAUGCCACAUGCAUUGACCAUUUUAUAGAAAUGGAUUUUUGGGCUUGGAAUCAUGAAUACUGAGAGAGAAUUUUUUUGCUUCCAAAUGGCUUUAUGUGAAGUUGAUGGUAAAACUAAGAUGCAAGAUUGAAGUUCCCUUCACUUUCUUUUGCCAAGGUGUCAAGUAAAUCAGUUUCAGAAGUAUGCCUGAGUAUUCAUCUAAGAUAUUCAUCUUUAAGAGAAUGACUCCAUGAUGAUUUAUUCUAUUCAAAUUCUGAAAAUUCAUAUGAAGAUACAGACAGAUGGAAGAGAAAAGAAAGAUUUGUAUUUGCAAAAGGCUAAGAGAAUGGGUAAUUAGAACUUCUAGGUUCAUAAGGGGCCACAUUUGAUUGAUUCUAAUAUGCGAAAGAUCUACCCCUUUUCUAUAUUAGGACGCCUCUAAAUACACCAUUGUAUCAAAAUAUGAUGCAUAUCAGUAUUAUCCCUGAGACAGUUAUAAGAGCAACAUUUCUAUUUGAGACAGAGUGCUGAGAAAUCAAGAAGCAAUAUAUUCAAAACAUGGGUUUAGCUGAGAUGAAGAUGUUGAGAUGGAUGAAUGGCACGACUAAAAGAGAGUAUCAGAAA
Molecule: non-coding RNA, 2809 nt
Organism: Nelumbo nucifera (sacred lotus)
Lineage: Eukaryota; Viridiplantae; Streptophyta; Magnoliopsida; Proteales; Nelumbonaceae
Source: RefSeq, a predicted model, not a curated record